This 896-nucleotide long non-coding RNA is filed under the name Vigna radiata. Its description in RNAcentral is "long non-coding RNA (VRAD_LNC008336)". Lineage: Eukaryota; Viridiplantae; Streptophyta; Magnoliopsida; Fabales; Fabaceae. The record is from RNAcentral.
AAAAAAACAAAACAAAACAAAAAAAGAGUCUCAAAGUGAUGAUAAAAAAGAAUGAAAAUUGAAGUUCAAGAAGAGCAAAGUGCUCAAAAAGUCAAAUAGUUGAUGCAAUGCCUAGAUGAUAACCCUUGUUUCAAAAAAAAUAGCCAAAAAACAUUCAUUUGGACCUUCAUAUCUUUUUUUCAAAUACCUUUUAGCCCCUAGCCACGUUACAAGCCUAAUAAAGCCCACACAGAUUGGAUAAUGUUUGCUCAAUUUUUUAUAAAGCUUAAUUUUGCGAUAAGGUGAAAUGACUUUUAAUGUGUCGUAAAAACAAAAGGUUGAAAAAAAAGAAAAGAGGAAGAUAAUGUCUCGGGAAGAGGGGAUCUCCUUGCCAACUAGCCAGAAGCAUGUAAAUGAAAAUCAAACCAGUUGGGGGCCAUCCAUUUAGCCUAUCCUUUUCAUGCCCAUUACCUCUUCCAAACAGAACCCUAUGCCAAAAAAACUGGGGCAGCUUUGUGAGCCUCAUACAAAUUUUUCAUCAACCCAUGAUCCCAAGACUAGGGCAGCUUUGUGAGUCUCAUACAAAUUUUUCAUCAACCCAUGAUCCCAAGACUGUGGCAGAUUUGCAAGUUUCAUUUGAUUUGUUCACCCUAAUUUUCAUGGAUCCAUACCCCUAUGAUCAUUUUCCCAAACACUAAACUGGGGCAAAAUUUUUGGUAUAUCGUGUUUUGUCUUGACACUCACAUAUUACAUCUCUGUCAAGGAAUGUAUGAGAAAUGAUGUGCCCACAUGGUUGUCCUAGUCUUCUCCAAACCCUCCUAAACAUCUCUCAUUUUUCACCUACCAAUUCAAGCAUGUGUGCACUGAUGUCUCGAAAGAAAAAGUCAAAAUGCAAUAAUCUCAAAUUUAGAUCUCGG